This 462-nucleotide ribosomal RNA is filed under the name Crorema cf. jordani M10. Its description in RNAcentral is "partial large subunit ribosomal RNA". The record is from RNAcentral. Lineage: Eukaryota; Metazoa; Arthropoda; Insecta; Lepidoptera; Erebidae.
UGCCCACUGAUUUUAAUUAAAGGGCUGCAGUAUUUUGACUGUACAAAGGUAGCAUAAUCAUUAGUCAUUUAAUUGGUGACUUGUAUGAAAGAUUGGAUGAAAUAUAAACUGUCUUUUAUAUAUAUUAAUUAGAAUUUAAUUUUUUAGUUAAAAAGCUUAAAUAAGUUAAAAAGACGAGAAGACCCUAUAGAGUUUUAUUUAAUUAUUUUAAUUUGGUAUUUUAUAAUUUUUAAUUAAGUUAUGGUAAUUAAAUUUAGUUGGGGUGAUAGAAAAAUUAAAUAAACUUUUUUUUUUAUUUUUACAUAAAUAAAUGAUUAAAUGAUCCAUUAUUAAUGAUUAUAAGAUUAAAUUACCUUAGGGAUAACAGCGUAAUUUUAUUUUUUAGUUCACAUAAAAAAUAGAGUUUGCGACCUCGAUGUUGGAUUAAGAUAAAAUUUAAAUGUAGAAGUUUAAAAUUUUUGA